Macaca mulatta (Rhesus monkey) is the source of this 1414-nucleotide long non-coding RNA. RefSeq lists it as uncharacterized. Lineage: Eukaryota; Metazoa; Chordata; Mammalia; Primates; Cercopithecidae. The record is from RefSeq and is a predicted model, not a curated record.
CUAUAUACUUACAAAAAUUAAAAAUAAAAAGAAGACAAAUUAAAGGCAGUUUGGGUAAAAAAAAAAUUCUGAGAGAAUUCUUUGCCAGAAGACUGGGACUAUAAAAUAUGCUAAAGAAAGUUCUUUAGAAAUGAUACUAAAUGGAAAAUCAGCUCUACAGCAAGAAAUGAAAAGAACUAGAAAUGAUAAAUAUGUGGGAAAAACAAGACAAACUUCAUGGAUAAAUAUAACAAAAUAUGUGGAAGAAUGCAGCACCAAAAAGUAUAAACCAUAUUAAAAAGUUCACAGAAGACUUAAUGAAUGAAGAGAUGUUCAUGGAUUGGAAGAUUCAAACGUGUUAAAAUAUGCGUUCGGCAUUUACCAACAGCGAACAAGCACGAGCAGUGGAACGCAAAAAUGUGUGUGCAUCAAAUGAACAUGAAAAUCUUCACCCAGGUCACCUGCCAGAAUCAGACUAAGGUUCCUGGUAUUUAAUGGAAAGGUUAAAAGAAGUUUACAGCUUUAAUGCCUGUGGCACACUGAUUACUUUUCAAGAUUUUGAGGAUUAAAGCCUCUGAGAGUCUUUCGAGCAAGUUUGAACAGUGGUGUUGGGGAGCAUGAAUGGCAGGUGGCUGGUCUACAAAAUCUCAUCCAGGUUCAAGCUUCUGGACAUGAUGUUAUCAACGCCCCACUCAGAUUUCAUGUUUGAUCCUGAGGAUUCUAUCAUUGCUCUAAUCAAGUCAGAUAUGUGGUUAAUGCUUCACAUUUUUAUUUAAAGCAAGGCUUUUAGUACUAUGUAUGUUUUCAGUUAAACCACAUAGCUGCUCUAGCAUAGUAUUAUUUGUGACCCUAGCUGCUGUCUCCAAAUGCUCAUUGAUAUUCUUGUAAAAAAAAAAAAAAGAAUAAUCAUUGAGGUUCUCUUUCACAAAGCCUCUAUUCUUAUCAAUGGCCAUAUAAUGCUGGUAUCUUUUGGGUCAAAAUGGAAAGAUUUCAUGCUGUACUUUGAAAUACAGUAUUAUUUAGCACAAUAAGUCUAUCACAGGAAAUCUUAAGUUUAAUGUACAAAGCAUAUUUAAAAACCCACAAAAUUGGAAAUUUUUAUGAUCAGAGAUGAAUCCAGUAUUUCGGGUGCAAGCCUUGUUUAAUGUACACCUGCUGAAAACAUUUCAUACAUAAACACAGAUGGAUAUCUCCAUGUAUAUACAUAUAUAUGUAUAUGUGUGUGUGUUUCCAUGUCUGUCUCUAUCUUUAUACCUAACUCGGAAAGUUGAUUACCUUAGUUAUAGUUGGGCAUAUUUUAUCCUCGCUUUUAGCUUACAACAAUUAUGGAAAGUCUGAAUUUUGUUCAUCUGUCUGCAUUUGAACAUGUCAAACAUCUGUUUAUUUGUUCCAGUCAGAAUCAUUUUACCCUAUAAAAGAAUCAAGCAGAAGACUA